GUCAGAAUGGCCGAGCGGUCUAAGGGUCUGCGUUAAGAUCGCAGUCUCUCCUGGAGGCGUUGGUUCGAAUCCCACUUCUGACA
Molecule: non-coding RNA, 83 nt
Organism: Poecilia latipinna (sailfin molly)
Lineage: Eukaryota; Metazoa; Chordata; Actinopteri; Cyprinodontiformes; Poeciliidae
Source: the annotation of a RefSeq genome assembly